RNAcentral lists this ribosomal RNA (1336 nucleotides) under Lactiplantibacillus plantarum. Its description in RNAcentral is "bacterial SSU rRNA". It matches the Rfam family "Bacterial small subunit ribosomal RNA", at positions 58 to 1358 of the family's 1533-position model. Lineage: Bacteria; Bacillati; Bacillota; Bacilli; Lactobacillales; Lactobacillaceae. The record is from RNAcentral.
CAAGUCGAACGAACUCUGGUAUUGAUUGGUGCUUGCAUCAUGAUUUACAUUUGAGUGAGUGGCGAACUGGUGAGUAACACGUGGGAAACCUGCCCAGAAGCGGGGGAUAACACCUGGAAACAGAUGCUAAUACCGCAUAACAACUUGGACCGCAUGGUCCGAGUUUGAAAGAUGGCUUCGGCUAUCACUUUUGGAUGGUCCCGCGGCGUAUUAGCUAGAUGGUGGGGUAACGGCUCACCAUGGCAAUGAUACGUAGCCGACCUGAGAGGGUAAUCGGCCACAUUGGGACUGAGACACGGCCCAAACUCCUACGGGAGGCAGCAGUAGGGAAUCUUCCACAAUGGACGAAAGUCUGAUGGAGCAACGCCGCGUGAGUGAAGAAGGGUUUCGGCUCGUAAAACUCUGUUGUUAAAGAAGAACAUAUCUGAGAGUAACUGUUCAGGUAUUGACGGUAUUUAACCAGAAAGCCACGGCUAACUACGUGCCAGCAGCCGCGGUAAUACGUAGGUGGCAAGCGUUGUCCGGAUUUAUUGGGCGUAAAGCGAGCGCAGGCGGUUUUUUAAGUCUGAUGUGAAAGCCUUCGGCUCAACCGAAGAAGUGCAUCGGAAACUGGGAAACUUGAGUGCAGAAGAGGACAGUGGAACUCCAUGUGUAGCGGUGAAAUGCGUAGAUAUAUGGAAGAACACCAGUGGCGAAGGCGGCUGUCUGGUCUGUAACUGACGCUGAGGCUCGAAAGUAUGGGUAGCAAACAGGAUUAGAUACCCUGGUAGUCCAUACCGUAAACGAUGAAUGCUAAGUGUUGGAGGGUUUCCGCCCUUCAGUGCUGCAGCUAACGCAUUAAGCAUUCCGCCUGGGGAGUACGGCCGCAAGGCUGAAACUCAAAGGAAUUGACGGGGGCCCGCACAAGCGGUGGAGCAUGUGGUUUAAUUCGAAGCUACGCGAAGAACCUUACCAGGUCUUGACAUACUAUGCAAAUCUAAGAGAUUAGACGUUCCCUUCGGGGACAUGGAUACAGGUGGUGCAUGGUUGUCGUCAGCUCGUGUCGUGAGAUGUUGGGUUAAGUCCCGCAACGAGCGCAACCCUUAUUAUCAGUUGCCAGCAUUAAGUUGGGCACUCUGGUGAGACUGCCGGUGACAAACCGGAGGAAGGUGGGGAUGACGUCAAAUCAUCAUGCCCCUUAUGACCUGGGCUACACACGUGCUACAAUGGAUGGUACAACGAGUUGCGAACUCGCGAGAGUAAGCUAAUCUCUUAAAGCCAUUCUCAGUUCGGAUUGUAGGCUGCAACUCGCCUACAUGAAGUCGGAAUCGCUAGUAAUCGCGGAUCAGCAGCCUCC